RNAcentral lists this ribosomal RNA (119 nucleotides) under Helianthus annuus (common sunflower). Lineage: Eukaryota; Viridiplantae; Streptophyta; Magnoliopsida; Asterales; Asteraceae. The record is from RNAcentral.
GGUUGCGAUCAUACCAGCACUAAUGCACCUGAUCCCAUCAGAACUCCGCAGUUAAGCGUGCUUGGGCGAGAGUAGUACUAGGAUGGGUGACCCCCUGGGAAGUCCUCGUGUUGCAACCC